CCUGGUUCUUUUCCAUUUGAAGGAGCAACUCUGCCAUGGUCGGGUGGUUUGGAGGCGGAGGUGGGACAUCGUCCUCAUCAUCCUCAUGGGGACCAUUACCGCUACCACGACCACGAGUUUGACCUCGAGUUCUCGCUGCCAUCCUGCUGCAUCAACAGUGCCUUAACAAGAUGAAUUGACAUACAACGAGAUCUGGAAGGAUUUAGAAACAAAAGGACGGUGGGAGAUACAUGAGUAAAACACAUCAUUCCAUUCAAAUUCACAGAGGAAAAUGAAGCUCUAAAUGAGUGGUGUUAACCAUGAGAAUCAACACAAAGUAGUAUUGACACAUCCAAAAAGGUCCAUAAAUGUUACUGAUUUCUCAUCGCCUAAAGGCGUGAUAAACAACAAGGGUGGAGCCAGAAGAAUACAACCACACAUUAAAACAAUUUUGAAUUGGAAGAGAUUGAAGAACUAAGCUGAUAUGGAGAAGGAUAAGGAAAAGAUGUACUUGCUGAUUUUUUUUUAAUUCCUUUUUAAAUUUUUGAAAAUAGUUUUCUUAGCGAUGCCAAGACCUAAACUAACGACCACCCACCAUGGCUUACCUACGGUCAGCCUGGCUCUGAUACCGACGCUGUCGGGACCCCAGGAAUUUAAUUUGUACAUGAUAAAAUCAACCACAUUGGGGCAGGUCAAGGCAGCAGCUCAUGCCCAUAACUUUGGAUGUUAUGAGUCAAAUGAAGCCCGAGUGAUCAAUCUUAUCCAUGCACAAAUAAAAUUUCCAGCGCCCGCAUACACAUCUGACCACCCCAGGAUCACAUACACGCAGAUUAUACAUGGUGGAAGGAUGUGUAUGGAAAACAACAUUGGAUAUCAGAACACAAGCUUUCUACA
RNAcentral lists this long non-coding RNA (873 nucleotides) under Brachypodium distachyon (stiff brome). RNAcentral describes it as "long non-coding RNA (BDIS_LNC003649)". The record is from RNAcentral. Lineage: Eukaryota; Viridiplantae; Streptophyta; Magnoliopsida; Poales; Poaceae.